Prionailurus viverrinus (fishing cat) is the source of this 534-nucleotide long non-coding RNA. RefSeq lists it as uncharacterized. NCBI's taxonomy places the organism in Eukaryota, Metazoa, Chordata, Mammalia, Carnivora, Felidae. The transcript has 3 exons. The record is from RefSeq and is a predicted model, not a curated record.
CUCUUGUUAUCUGAUGCAACCAAGAAUCAAUAAUAAAGAAAUGGUGAAUAUUUGUUAUAAUGUCCUGAGGCUCAGCAUUAGUGACAAGGAUAUUUCUAACUACCAACUAAUAAAUGGAUCUUGAUUUAAUGAAAAUUGUGUAUUAAGGGGUCCUGUUCUGUCAACCAAAGGGGAUUCGAUUCGAUCUGUCCUGUUCAUGUCAUGAAAUGCUUCAUUUCACCCUUCCUCAAAGCAAUUGAUGCCAGCUAGCCCUAGACCUCCACAAUUAAGGGGACCAGCAGGAAGCAAUCUGUUAUUAGUGAUCAUUGGAAGGAAUAAGGAUCAGCCCCAAAAUGAGUUAAUUGAUCUUCUAGUAAGACACAGGCUUCAAAAUUGGCUGGUAGUAGGAACACCCAGGCCACCAGCACCACUGAGCCACCCCAGAUGGUUGUUUCAGUGGUUGGGAACCAACCAUAAGCUGAACUUGUGAGACACUUCAUCAAGAUUUCUGCACUUGAGCCGAAGAAGCUGGAGUAUUAAUUCCUCGGAUGUUUG